AGCAAACAGGAUUAGAUACCCUGGUAGUCACGCUGUAAACGAUGUCGAUUUGGAGUUUGUUGCCUAGAGUGAUGGGCUCCGAAGCUAACGCGAUAAAUCGACCGCUGGGGAGUACGGCCGCAAGGUUAAAACUCAAAUGAAUUGACGGGGGCCCGCACAAGCGGUGGAGCAUGUGGUUUAAUUCGAUGCAACGCGAAGAACCUUACCUGGUCUUGACAUCCAUAGAAUUCUGCAGAGAUGUGGGAGUGCCUUCGGGAACUAUGAGACAGGUGCUGCAUGGCUGUCGUCAGCUCGUGUUGUGAAAUGUUGGGUUAAGUCCCGCAACGAGCGCAACCCUUAUUCUUUGUUGCCAGCGAUUUGGUCGGGAACUCAAAGGAGACUGUCGUUGAUAAAGCGGAGGAAGGUGGGGACGACGUCAAGUCAUCAUGGCCCUUACGACCAGGGCUACACACGUGCUACAAUGGCGUAUACAAAGGGAAGCGAAGGUGCGAGCUGGAGCGGAUCUCAUAAAGUACGUCUAAGUUCGGAUUGGAGUCUGCAACUCGACUCCAUGAAGUCGGAAUCGCUAGUAAUCGUAGAUCAGAAUGCUACGGUGAAUACGUUCCCGGGCCUUGUACACACCGCCCGUCACACCAUGGGAGUGGGUUGCACCAGAAGUAGAUAGCUUAACCGCGAGGGGGGCGUUUACCACGGUGUGAUUCAUGACUGGGGUGAAGUCGUAACAAGGUAACCA
Molecule: ribosomal RNA, 733 nt
Filed under: uncultured Enterobacteriaceae bacterium
Lineage: Bacteria; Pseudomonadati; Pseudomonadota; Gammaproteobacteria; Enterobacterales; Enterobacteriaceae
Description: bacterial SSU rRNA
Rfam family: Bacterial small subunit ribosomal RNA
Source: RNAcentral